RNAcentral lists this ribosomal RNA (427 nucleotides) under uncultured bacterium. RNAcentral describes it as "bacterial SSU rRNA". It matches the Rfam family "Bacterial small subunit ribosomal RNA", at positions 28 to 456 of the family's 1533-position model. The record is from RNAcentral.
GAUGAACGCUAGCGGCAGGCUUAACACAUGCAAGUCGAGGGGUAUAGUUCUUCGGAAUUAGAGACCGGCGCACGGGUGCGUAACGCGUAUGCAAUCUACCUUUCACAGAGGGAUAGCCCCAGAGAAAUUUGGAUUAAUACCUCAUAGUAUAGCAGUUUCGCAUGAAACCACUAUUAAAGUCACAACGGUGAAAGAUGAGCAUGCGUCCCAUUAGCUAAUUGGUAAGGUAACGGCUUACCAAGGCAACGAUGGGUAGGGGUCCUGAGAGGGAGAUCCCCCACACUGGUACUGAGACACGGACCAGACUCCUACGGGAGGCAGCAGUGAGGAAUAUUGGACAAUGGGCGCAAGCCUGAUCCAGCCAUGCCGCGUGCAGGAUGACGGUCCUAUGGAUUGUAAACUGCUUUUAUACAGGAAGAAACACUAC